Molecule: ribosomal RNA, 254 nt
Filed under: uncultured bacterium
Lineage: Bacteria
Description: partial 16S ribosomal RNA
Rfam family: Bacterial small subunit ribosomal RNA
Source: RNAcentral
UACGUAGGGUCCGAGCGUUGUCCGGAAUUACUGGGCGUAAAGAGCUCGUAGGUGGUUUGUCGCGUUGUUCGUGAAAACUCACAGCUUAACUGUGGGCGUGCGGGCGAUACGGGCAGACUUGAGUACUGCAGGGGAGACUGGAAUUCCUGGUGUAGCGGUGAAAUGCGCAGAUAUCAGGAGGAACACCGGUGGCGAAGGCGGGUCUCUGGGCCGAUACUGACGCUGAGGAGCGAAAGCGUGGGGGAGCGAACAGG